Molecule: ribosomal RNA, 892 nt
Filed under: uncultured bacterium
Lineage: Bacteria
Description: bacterial SSU rRNA
Rfam family: Bacterial small subunit ribosomal RNA
Source: RNAcentral
CGCUAGCGAUAGGCCUAACACAUGCAAGUCGAGGGGCAGCAUAGGGUAGCAAUACUUUGAUGGCGACCGGCGCACGGGUGAGUAACGCGUAUGCAACCUACCUAUAACAGGGGAAUAAGCCCGGAGAAAUUCGGACUAAUACCGCAUAAAACAGGGGCUCCGCAUGGUGAUAUUUGUUAAAGAUUUAUCGGUUAUAGAUGGGCAUGCGUUCCAUUAGCCAGUUGGUGAGGUAACGGCUCACCAAAGCAACGAUGGAUAGGGGUUCUGAGAGGUUUGUCCCCCACACUGGAACUGAGACACGGACCAGACUCCUACGGGAGGCAGCAGUGAGGAAUAUUGGUCAAUGGGCGAGAGCCUGAACCAGCCAAAUCGCGUGAAGGAAGACUGCCUUAUGGGUUGUAAACUUCUUUUAUACAGGAAUAAAAAGAUUACGUGUAACUUAUUGCAAGUACAGUACGAAUAAGCAUCGGCUAACUCCGUGCCAGCAGCCGCGGUAAUACGGAGGAUGCGAGCGUUAUCCGGAUUUAUUGGGUUUAAAGGGUGCGCAGGCGGGAACUUAAGUCAGCGGUGAAAUCUCGACGCUUAACGUCGAAACUGCCGUUGAAACUGGGUUUCUUGAGUAUAGAUGAAGUAGGCGGAAUUCGUUGUGUAGCGGUGACAUGCUUAGAUAUAACGAGGAACUCCGAUUGCGUAGGCAGCUUACUAAGCUAUAACUGACGCUGAAGCACGAAAGCGUGGGGAUCAAACAGGAUUAGAUACCCUGGUAGUCCACGCCGUAAACGAUGAUUACUAGUUGUAUGCGAUAUACCGUAUGUGACUAAGCGAAAGCGAUAAGUAAUCCACCUGGGGAGUACGCCGGCAACGGUGAAACUCAAAGGAAUUGACGGGGGCC